RNAcentral lists this unclassified non-coding RNA (26 nucleotides) under Mus musculus (house mouse). RNAcentral's name for it is "oocyte_clustered_small_RNA626". The record is from RNAcentral. Lineage: Eukaryota; Metazoa; Chordata; Mammalia; Rodentia; Muridae.
GAAAUCGGACUGCAGAAGUAACACAG